This 276-nucleotide ribosomal RNA is filed under the name Triticum aestivum (bread wheat). RNAcentral's name for it is "partial small subunit ribosomal RNA". Lineage: Eukaryota; Viridiplantae; Streptophyta; Magnoliopsida; Poales; Poaceae. The record is from RNAcentral.
AUGAUGCUGCUCAAAACUAAGCCGAUGGCCGCUGUUUCUCUUCCUCCACAGGGCAAUGGCGAGCCAUUACAUCCCCGAUCCACAUCGACUCGUUACCUGGCUUUGCGUUAUCGACGUGGAAGUUUUGGUUCGUGUCGCGCCAUUACGCACAUGGUUGCUUCUACUGGGUUUCAGGUACCAGUGAAAAAUUGCUCGUGCUUGACAUCCGGACGAUGGAGUUCUCCAUGGUUGACCACCCACCCUGUGCCAGACAACCGGGCGAUGAUGUGGCCAUAG